Molecule: long non-coding RNA, 589 nt
Filed under: Homo sapiens (human)
Lineage: Eukaryota; Metazoa; Chordata; Mammalia; Primates; Hominidae
Description: novel transcript
Source: RNAcentral
GUAGUAUAUGCUUUCUGGUGGACACUAAUAUGGAACACAAAGAUCUUCUCACAUUGCAGCUGCUCCCAUAUAUCCAUUGAUAUAUGCCUCUAACUCCAGACCUUUUUGUCCUUAAUCUUCUAAUCCGGUUAUCUCUUUUCCUUUAGUGCAAUUUUUCCUUAUUUGUUUGUUUUGUUUUUUUUUUUAAGUAAAUAGCUAGGCUUCUAAGCCCUACCACAGAGAGUCAACAGACAAACUGCCCAGGGAAAAGUUAUGACCUCAGGCAAAGUGAAUUUCUACAGCUAAGGCAGAUCCUGAAGAAGCUCACAAAUAAAGGCUGCAUACUCACACAUUCCCUGAAGCUUGACAGUUGAAAUUGAAGAUACAUAUGCUACUCUUCGCCAACAUCCUAGCCUAGUGCACUGCAACCUCAAGAAAGAGAUUUGAUUUACAAUACCAUAUUAUUAACUAUAGUCACCCCACUGUGCAACAGAACACCAGAACUUAUUCUAAUUGUAAUUUGGAAUAUCUCUGCAUAGCUAGAAGACAGAAAUUUGAAUGUUCCCACCACACACACAAAAAUAAAUGUUUGAGGUGAUUAAUAUGCUAA